RNAcentral lists this ribosomal RNA (468 nucleotides) under uncultured bacterium. RNAcentral describes it as "partial 16S ribosomal RNA". It matches the Rfam family "Bacterial small subunit ribosomal RNA", at positions 28 to 507 of the family's 1533-position model. The record is from RNAcentral.
GGCGAACGCUGGCGGCGUGCUUAACACACGCAAGUCGAACGGAAAGGCCCUGCUUUUGUGGGGUGCUCGAGUGGCGAACGGGUGAGUAACACGUGAGUAACCUGCCCUUGACUUUGGGAUAACUUCAGGAAACUGGGGCUAAUACCGGAUAGGAGCUCCUGCUGCAUGGUGGGGGUUGGAAAGUUUCGGCGGUUGGGGAUGGACUCGCGGCUUAUCAGCUUGUUGGUGGGGUAGUGGCUUACCAAGGCUUUGACGGGUAGCCGGCCUGAGAGGGUGACCGGCCACAUUGGGACUGAGAUACGGCCCAGACUCCUACGGGAGGCAGCAGUGGGGAAUAUUGCACAAUGGGCGGAAGCCUGAUGCAGCAACGCCGCGUGCGGGAUGACGGCCUUCGGGUUGUAAACCGCUUUCGCCUGUGACGAAGCGUGAGUGACGGUAAUGGGUAAAGAAGCACGGGCUAACUACGUG